Molecule: small nucleolar RNA, 89 nt
Organism: Phragmites australis (common reed)
Lineage: Eukaryota; Viridiplantae; Streptophyta; Magnoliopsida; Poales; Poaceae
Product: small nucleolar RNA U31b
Exons: 1
Source: RefSeq, a predicted model, not a curated record
GAGAAUGAUGAUCUGAUAUUGUCGCCCCAGUCUUAGGAUUCGCUCUCAUGGCGGACCUGUGCUGAUUGACAUACUUGUGAAUCUGACUC